This 131-nucleotide small nuclear RNA is filed under the name Canis lupus familiaris (dog). Its description in RNAcentral is "U4 spliceosomal RNA (multiple genes)". It matches the Rfam family "U4 spliceosomal RNA". Rfam says of the family: U4 small nuclear RNA (U4 snRNA) is a component of the major U2-dependent spliceosome. The structure of U4 snRNA from yeast and human has been reported. The record is from Rfam by way of RNAcentral. RNAcentral also lists the same sequence under 2 other names. Lineage: Eukaryota; Metazoa; Chordata; Mammalia; Carnivora; Canidae.
AGCUCUGUACAGUGGCAGUAUUGUAGUCAAUGAGGUUUAUCCAAGGCACAAUUAUUGCCAAUUGAAAGUAGUCAUAAUUUUUUUCUUUGAUUUUGCAAAAUUUAUACCUCAUUUUUUGUUCUUAUUGCAGG